UUGAUAUGCAGAAGUCUAUGUAACAAGCCUCCAUUUUAUUUUUUUAUAGGGGUCAGUUUUGCUUGUCCCUCACCAAGUAACGUCCUGAUAACGUCAUACAUAAAACUGUGUUUUGCACCCUUAAGGAGUAGCAUUUGAUGACAUUUCCCACAUUUAUUUGCAUGGGUCAGUUUUGCUUGUCCCUCACCAAGUAACGUCCUGAUAACGUCAUACAUAAAACUGUGUUUUGCACCCUUAAGGAGUAGCAUUUGAUGACAUUUCCCACAUUUAUUUGCAUGGGUCAGUUUUGCUUGUCCCUCACCAAGUAACGUCCUGAUAACGUCAUACAUAAAACUGUGUUUUGCACCCAA
Molecule: long non-coding RNA, 350 nt
Organism: Saccostrea cuccullata (small rock oyster)
Lineage: Eukaryota; Metazoa; Mollusca; Bivalvia; Ostreida; Ostreidae
Exons: 3
Source: RefSeq, a predicted model, not a curated record